This 77-nucleotide transfer RNA is filed under the name Clostridiales bacterium. RNAcentral's name for it is "tRNA-Val". It matches the Rfam family "tRNA". From Rfam's summary of the family: Transfer RNA (tRNA) molecules are approximately 80 nucleotides in length. Their secondary structure includes four short double-helical elements and three loops (D, anti-codon, and T loops). The record is from RNAcentral. RNAcentral also lists the same sequence under 1 other name. Lineage: Bacteria; Bacillati; Bacillota; Clostridia; Eubacteriales.
GGGCUGUUAGCUCAGCUGGUUAGAGCGCCUGCGUCACAAGCAGGAAGUCGUUGGUUCGAAUCCAGUACGGCCCACCA